AUCAGGAAGUGUGUCCCUCGCCUGUAAUCCAAGUUACCGGGAGGCUGAGGCUGGAGGAGCUCUGGGCUGCAGCGGACUAUGUCGAUCGGGUGUCCGCACUAAGUUCGGUAUCGAUAUGGUGCUCCGGGGGGAGCCCGGGAUCACCAGGUCGUCUAAGGAGGGGUGCACCGGCCCAGGUCGGACACAGAGCAGGUCAAAGCCCCCGUGAAUAGACGCUGUAGUUCAGCCUGAGUAAGACAGCGGGACCCAGUCUUUA
RNAcentral lists this signal recognition particle RNA (256 nucleotides) under Echeneis naucrates (live sharksucker). Its description in RNAcentral is "Metazoan signal recognition particle RNA (ENSENLG00000013996.1)". It matches the Rfam family "Metazoan signal recognition particle RNA". Rfam says of the family: The signal recognition particle (SRP) is a universally conserved ribonucleoprotein. It is involved in the co-translational targeting of proteins to membranes. Lineage: Eukaryota; Metazoa; Chordata; Actinopteri; Carangiformes; Echeneidae. The record is from Rfam by way of RNAcentral.